UAAUGAUUCUGCACUAAGGUGAAGUGCAAUUCUUUCAUAGCCUGGUAAAUGUCUGAGGCUAUUGUCUGAUUUCGUUUGUGCUCUUUGAUUAGUGGUACUUUCACACUGGAUGAGGCGCCAGUUUCCAGCUGCACAGGUUUCAUAUUGUUAUAGUCUUAGCAAUUGAAUACAUAAUCAUGAUCCAAAGC
Molecule: long non-coding RNA, 188 nt
Filed under: Amphimedon queenslandica
Lineage: Eukaryota; Metazoa; Porifera; Demospongiae; Haplosclerida; Niphatidae
Description: uncharacterized LOC109580320
Source: RNAcentral